AACUUACCAGGUCAAGACAUGGGCGUGAUUGACAGGCUAAUGACUUUUCUCGAUUCCAUGGAUGGUGGUGCAUGGUCGCACUUAGUUGGUGCAGUGAUUUGUCAGGUUUAUUCCGGUAACGAACGAGACCUCGGCCUUGUAAAUAGCUAUGCUGCUUACAGGGACAUUGGCGGCUACGCCAAGGAAGCUCGAGGCAAUUGCAGAUCUGGAAUGCCCUUAGAUGUCCUGGGUCGCACGCGUGCUACAAUGACGCCACGAACGAGCUUGCGUGAUGAAAGUUACGCAUAAUCAGCAGUCGGCGUCUUAAGGGAUAGUCUCUUGUAACUGUGGGACUCCAACUAGGAAUGUCUCGUAAGCACAAGUCAACAUCUUGUGUUGAUUACGUCCCUGCUCUUUGUACACACCGCCCGUCGCUCCUACCGAUCGAGUGUUUAGGUGAAUUUGAUGGACGUAAGGAAGUCAAAUAAACCUGAGCACUAGAGAAGAGAAGUCUACAUGAC
This 500-nucleotide ribosomal RNA is filed under the name uncultured Myrionecta. RNAcentral describes it as "bacterial SSU rRNA". It matches the Rfam family "Eukaryotic small subunit ribosomal RNA", at positions 1212 to 1800 of the family's 1831-position model. Lineage: Eukaryota; Ciliophora; Litostomatea; Cyclotrichida; Mesodiniidae. The record is from RNAcentral.